AUGUUCGAGUACCAUCAUAUUGCCAGCAGGAUGUUUCAUAGUGAGGAUGACGGUUAUAAAUUCUAUAACAAAUAUGCUCUUGAGAAAGGUUUUAGCGUGAGAAGCUAUGUUGAGUGGGAUGGAUCCAACAAUCAUAUAAGUUUAAGGAAAAUUGUGUGUAGUCGUGAAGGAGUUUGCAAAGAGAAGCACAUGAAGAGGAGGAUGGAAGAUAGACAGAGGAGGCCACAGAGUAUAACUCGUGUUGGGUGUCAAGCUAAAUUGGUCAUUGCAAGGCUGGAGGAAACAGGUCGGUGGUUUGUCAAGGAUUUCAUUGAUGAACACAACCACCCUCUGGCCCCACGGGAUCUUUCGUGCCUUUUGCAUUCACACAGACGAAUUAGCGAUGAGCAGCAAGUGGACAUUGCAAACAUGGAAAAUUCUGGGAUCCGCAAGUACCAUAUUAUCGAUAUCUCGUGCAUGCAAUACUGAGGAUAUGAUCAGGUUGGAUGCACAAGGAGGGACUACAACUUCUGUCAUGCUAGUAAGCAGGAAUCAAUCUGUACAGGUGAUGCUAAAACGGUGAUCAGUCACAUGAUGGCGCAGCGAGAAAGAUCUAGAUUUUUUUUCUUCAAGUACUUGGUUGAUGAACUUAGCCAUCUGAAGGGACUCUUCUGGUCUGAUAUUCAAUCCUGACUUGACUACGUAGCUUUCGGAGACGUUAUUAUUUUUUAUAGCACAUACAGAACCAAUAAGUACAAUCUGCCAUUUGUGUCGUUUGUCGGGUUGAAUCACCACCGCAACACUGUUAUUUUUGGAUGUGGUAUAUUUUCUAAUGAAACAAGCCACACAUACGAGUGCAUGUUGCGGACCUUUUCUGACGCCAUGGCACAGAAGCAUCUGAUAUAUGUGAUUGCGAUCCAGAGAGCAAUCAGGGUGGUCUAGCCUGACUCAAACCAUAAUUUGUGUAUAUGGCACAUUCAGCUGAACAUUGUACAUCAUCUGAGUGAUGACACGGUAAAGGAGGAAUUGAGAUCUUUCAUAUAUUAUUCAUCUUCCGUUAAAGAGCAUGAGAGAAAAUGGAUAUAAUUCUUAUAAGGGAAUAAAGUAACCAGUGAGGAGUCCUGACUGCAUCAAAUGUGUUAGAUGAGAAAGUUGUGGUAUGCUCCAUAUCUUGAAGGGCGCUGUUUCCUAAGAUUGAGCAGUAAUCAGCGGAGUGAGAGCUUGAACUUUGUACUACAUACGCAUCUUGAGGCUAAGGUGACGUUGUUUCAAAUGCUAGAGAACUACGAGAGUUACCUUGUGACGCGACGGUUGAACGAGGCUCUCUAGGACACCGAGGCCCUGCAGUCACUUCCAUUUACAAAGGAAAAUGCUUCGGCUCUUGAGAAACACGCCGCAGAAGUUUUCACUCCUCUUGUGUUUAAGUUGGUGUUAUGGAGCAUUAAUGCUAUCAGCAAAUGUCAGAUCAGUGAGGUACUACAUGCAUCAGAAAUUAGCACGUAUGUUGUGUCUAAAAAGGAAAGAAUAGAUAAAAAGUUCGAAGUGCGCAGUGAGGGGCAGGAAGGUCUUUUGUGCAAGAUCAUUUUUACUUGCCGUAAGGUGGAAUCCGCAGGCACACCAUGUUCCCACAUAUUGUACAUAUUGGGAAUGUUGCAAGAAGAAAGACUGCUGAAGUGUUGUGUUCCCACUAGGUAG
Molecule: ribosomal RNA, 1674 nt
Filed under: Triticum aestivum (bread wheat)
Lineage: Eukaryota; Viridiplantae; Streptophyta; Magnoliopsida; Poales; Poaceae
Description: partial small subunit ribosomal RNA
Source: RNAcentral